Long non-coding RNA from Passer domesticus (house sparrow), 6690 nucleotides. RefSeq lists it as uncharacterized. The record is from RefSeq and is a predicted model, not a curated record. NCBI's taxonomy places the organism in Eukaryota, Metazoa, Chordata, Aves, Passeriformes, Passeridae. The transcript is spliced from 8 exons.
GCCUGGCUAAUCGGCCUUCUGUCAGGAGUAGGCCACAGUUUGAUCAUGAAGCCACAGACACGUUCGGUGGUGAGACAUUGAAACAAGUUACCUGAGGAAGUUGUGGAUGCCCCAUCACUGGCAGUGUUCAAAGUCAGUGCUCCUAAUUCCUACUUACAACAAUAGUCCUUCUAUUAUGUGCUUGUAGAAAUGAAUGUUUGUAGAGAACCAAAUAGAUCUGAUGCUGACAGCUUUCUCAGAUGCAAGGCUGUCAGACUGUGUGCUUCACUACUGUGCUAAUGACAAGGGAGCUCUGCUUUUACAAGAAAGUCAGGACACCGGAUCUGAAAUUAUUUCCUGGAACACUAAUAAGUUUACUGGAGACUGAGAAGAGAACUGAAGGAGAUAGAGAUGAACAUCACCCAUGUUGAAGUAGAGUUGAAAUAGUCCCUGAGAGAGCUGAUGUACAGUCCAUGUUUCCGUUGAGGAAUGUUGGUCUUCCACUGGCCAUGUGUGCAGACAAGCUGACCAACUGGCCCCAUGGGCUCUGAGUGCUGACACCAGCCAUGCAGAAUUGAAUCUUGUGAUCUCCCAAAACAUGUCUUUCCUGUGGACCUUCCUGUGAACCUGGAGUGAUGGGAGCCUUCUGUUAGUGGGCAUGCCCAGAUGGAUCAGCAAUAGAGUCCCUAAAGGAAGGAGCUGAAUGGCCACACAAAAAGUAGCCUGAGCUGCAUUCUUUGUUCACCAUAGCACCUGCUUGGUCAGACUAUGCUACAAGAGACACAGGUGGUUCCUACUUUAAAGUGGAUAAAGAGGAAGGUGCCACAGAGGUGAACAAAAGAGUGUAGAAUUUUCUAUCAUACCUGAAAAAUUACCUAUAGCACCUACCUUAUUAAGCUGUCAUGGAAGCCAAGACUGUGUUGAAUCAUUACAUCAGGAUGUUCCAGUCACUGGGAGAGUUCAGCUUUCUUUGAGGUUUGUGGUUCAGGGUUCAGACAGAGAAUUGUGAAGUUUCCUGACUGAAAGGAAGUAAUUAUUUAUAUUCAUAUACUAGUGCAGGAAUAGUAUGUUCCACUGAUAGGGAGGGAAACUCUUCUUGGACUUGGCUAAAAAUACUCAUUCUUUUGAACCUAUAAAAUGGACUUUCAGAGAUGCUCUCGAACUAAAAGCUUCCUUGAGCAACAUGUGUUCGUAUUUAAAAGUAAAGCCAAGGAAUCUGGCUCUUACAAGGCACAUGAAAUGAGCAGCAGGUUGAGAAUUUGAGUUCCAAAUGGCCAAUAAAGUCCAUUUUUAAUGUUACACAGUACUACAGUCAGAGCUACCAGCAGUACUUGCACUAAAUUAUAAUAGCAUUGAAUAUUAAAAAACCCAACCAAACCUCAAACAGCUAUGUACUUCAAAAUUAACCAGGUCAAAGGGUUGGAAGAAUGAGGGAUUUUGAAAGUCUGUAAAGGAAAAAGAAUCAUAACUGUAACUAUAAUCUUUACCCCUGAACAUUAUUUUAUAUAUUUGCUUUUAGUAUUUCUUCACUUCCUGUUUGCAUGAAAAUAAUGUCUUUCACAAGCUACCUCCAUUAGGCUUGUUCCCAAAGGUAUUUAUUUCCAGUCAAAUUAUAUUACUGCUCUUUUUACCAUUUUUUCUUCCUCAGUGUGCAUUUUCUUUAAAAAAAAUAUGAAUUUAUCUUUCUAAUUUAUUUUAACCCAGAAAUUUUCUGCUUGAUAUUUUCUCAGCUAAUGCCAGACAAUUUCUUCCUCCUCCUUCUUGUAAGUCCCCUUUUUUAAGAGCUUCUUGUUUGAUUUCUUCUGAUAUACAUACACCUAUCUCAAGACCUUUAUUGUAACAUUUAUGGGUUUCAUAUAUGUGUAUUCUGCUUUUUUAAUAUUGUUCCUAUGUUUUCUUUCAAGGGAAGUACUACUCUUUAAUUUUCCACACACUGGCAAUAUUUUUAUUGGCCAGAUAGAGAAUAUAAGCUCACACAUUACUAUGUCAGAGGGAAGAGUAAUGAGUUUGCUUUUGUUUUAUUAGAUGUUAAAAAAUGGUUUACCAGUUUCUGAGAAUCAGUUGACACUUUUUUCUCUAUACCUCAUCCCAUUAUAAUUAUCUAUGAGGUGUCCAUGCUGCUCUGGUUUCAUAUCUCUUCUGGUUUUGGCUGCAAUUCUAACAUGUAAAUGGCCAAACAAUCAAUUUAUCCCCCAAAAUCAGUUGAACCAACAAUGUCUGUGGCAGCAAAACUACUAUCUUUUUAGAGACAUUUUAACACAUUAACAAAACAAAUUACUCAGUAAAGGGCUUACAUGCUUCAAGAUUUUUUUUCUGUUUUCUUCCUUUCCAUUACUAGUGAUGCAGCUUUCCCUCUUCACUGGGUGCAUACAUAAAAUCCAAAGUUUGCCCAGAUGGGAGCUGUUAUGGGUGAGCUCCACAACCUCCAGGACAGCAGGAACCUGUCACUGGAUGCUGUGUCAGGUUCAGGCUGACAUGUUUCUUCUGCUCCUCUGCACAUCAAACACAGAAAUACAACAUAGUCCAGCAUCCUUGGGAAGGUAAAACUGCUUUAUCCAAUAGCUUUGGGCUUUGCAUCUGGAUUUUAGGAGGAGCUGCUGGCUAUGCGACUCUAACUCUAAGAAGUGCAACUAUGAAAUCAGAGCGAUUUUGGACAUAAUUAAACUGGAGAGUUACAUCUGUCAAUGUCUAGCACCUUUUUGUUCCUGGGAGCAUUACUUGGGGAUUGCGCCACAUUCCAAAGGAACAAACCAUCUGAACUUCUUCCCAGAGAUCUACAUACAACCCAUCACCCAUCUGAAUAGUCACAGGACUAACAGCAAAAUAAAGAUCCAUGCUGACAUGCAACAGGGAUCCUUAUUUAAUCCUAGAACUGAUACAAUAUUUCAGAAAGCCACUGAGAAGAACAAGGUUUCCAUACACUAAAAGACCUUGGACUGUAUAUCUGUAUACAGGGGGAGAUGAGUAAUUUCUUCAUGAGCCACUCUCAUCAUUAGUCUUUACCAUCAAAAGGUAUUAUCAGAGCUGGCUGGUCACUGGUGUACAUCUCCUUUCCCACCCCAAUAUAAAACCAGCUAGUUUCCAGCCUUUUUCAAUGCUACUACGUUCUUCUCUUUAUUCUUGCUCCUUCCAACCAAGUCACUUCUUCCUUCCUGGUAAUCUGUGUGGCACUGCUCUAAAGAGCAUUGUUGAAAAAAAUGUAAAAGGGUCAUUGCCAAGACCAUUCUUUGCUCUGAACACUGCUUUCUGUUGCCAUGACUGCUGAAGUAGCAAUAUAUACUGUGUUUUAGUGUUUUCAUAGUGUGUUUCCUGUCAGGGUAAGCAGUGGCUGAAAGCCUCUGCCAUGUGCACCACACAGUGGAUGCAUCUUGAAGGAGGUUCUCAUGGACCCCCUCAUGCCCUAAAGAGCUAUUUCUACAAAUGGCACGUCUUGGGUAGCUGGGGUCUGUCAUAACAAAGAUAAAAUAAGGAGAAACAUUAGCUAUGGGUGACUGACUGGACACAAAUAACUAUAGGGUACAGAGGUUUAAAAUGCAGCUCAUUUCCCUCCUUGACCUAGUCCCAGCCCUUAACUGUAACAUCUUGAAGGUAAAUGUUAGAGCAGGAAGACAUUUUUCCUGCAGGGUAUUUCCAUCUUGCACACGGUUUCAUGAAGUUCUCCUUUUAUGAUCACCUUGUGCAAUGCUGUGAGCCCAGCAGAACGGGCUGUGGCAGGGUGUUUUGGCAUUUCAGUCUUGCACUUGGUCCUUCCAGUCCAUGGAAUGCCUCCAAGACGACAGGUGAGUAGUGGCUGAGCAGAUCAGCUGAUUUCACACACGUAUCCACUUUCCUGAACCUGGAUGAAUAUCUGCAGUAAUUCUUUGCUAAUAUUUACCCAAAGAGUUGCACUCUGUGUAUGUUGUACUAUAUCCUGCUUCCAUGCUUUCUACUUUUUUCCUAUACAUUAUUACCUGUGCCUGUUUUGCUGUCUGUCUUUUUGUUCUUUUGUUGCAGUCCACUCUGGAAAUAUUUUGCCCCAUAAUUACACACCUAGUAGAGCAGAGGUUUGGUCUGAGAUGAAGAUAUUUGCACUUAUAAAUACAUAUAAGGACAGCAGUUCAGCUUCUCUUUAUAUGUUCAUGACUUCAUACCACCUUCCACAGUCACCUUCUCAAGACUGGCUUCAGCAACAGAUCUGCAGGGAUGAUGUACCUUGAGGCUCUAAUCACCUUUCUUUAGGUGAUUAGAGCUAUGUCUCCAAUCCUUUGCACUAUUUGUUGCUACACAAGCAAGAGACACAGGUGAAAUACUAAGCACUUCAGCAUCCCUGUCCUUAAUUGAGUGGAGAUGUGUAGUACUUUCAGGAAAUUUGCCUUUUGACUUGGAAAUCUCUGCUCUGCUCCUCCUCUUUCUUUUAUCUUGAAUUGGCUAAUCCUGUUUUCCUCUUAAAUGCAAAACCUGACUAUCCUACAUAAUCCCAAAAUGGCAUCACAGUGUGAAAACCAUCAUGUUCAGAUAUUUCCCCAGUGUAACAAUCAUGAUGGAAAUGCAACAUAUUUUUUUUCCUACAGCAGGGUAGGUGUUACUUUCUAAACUUAGCAGAAGCAACUUCCCAGCUGGCUCCUUGAACAAAUAUGGAAAAACAAACAAGUAGGUUGGAUUCGAUGAUCUCAGAGGUAUUUUCCAACCUAAUUGAUUCUGUGAUUCUGUGAAAUAAAAGUAGACAAACAUUCUAUAACUCCCAAAAAUGGCAGACAAGUGAUCUAGAAGCUGUUUGUUGAAACAAAUAAUCGUCAGAAUAAGUACCUCUAACCACAACCAUCAGUCAUUAAGUUCAUGCAAAUGCAGAAUUCAACUUUAACUUGUAUUUGCAUGUAUUAACUUAUAUAACAAUAAUUAAUUAUUAUUAAUAAUGAGAAGGGUCAAAAUCUUCCUUCCUUAUUUUCUGACUCAACUUAACUUGAAAAAUGGCCCUUUCCCCCUCUGUGCACCAAAGGAGCCUUUCAUCCAAACUGCCUCAGCAUCCUCAGUCCAUUCUCACAUUAGCUUUGCUCCUUGAAUCCCUACUUCACUACUUGCCAGCAUAGAAAAAGAGCUAAAGGGAGACUCUGCCUUUCCUCAGCUGCAGAGUCUUGUUGCCCCUCUGUAGCCCUGCUAGGAGGAAUAGUCAGGAGUCAUCAGCCAAAUCCCUGCCUAACAAGUGGGAAAUUGGACUUGGAACCAAGCCUUGAUUGGUACUGAAUUUCACUGGGACAGCAUCUGAGAAUUUUCAGAAUUUAAAGUACUAUAUUUCUGAGAUGUGAAAAUGUGUGAUCUGGUCAACAGGUUGUUGCGCUUGCAGGUAUCCGUGGUCUCAAACAGCCAAGCAAACAAUCACAAGCCACAGGAUAAUUGCACAGAAGUUUGACAGAAUUAAUUACAGAGACUAUAGGGUCAAUAUAUAUUAUUAGUUCAACUGAAGGUUCUACUACAGAUAAAGACAGAAUAUACUUCAGAAUCUGGGUUUUAACCUGACCAGAGUGUUUUUGUUCAAAAUAGAGUUACAUUUUCUGGCUGAAAUAUGUUAUCUUAAAGAAUAUAAUUAUGGAAAAAACCCGUGACAUGCACAUUGGCAACACGGAUUUCUGAGGACUCUGCUUAUUUCCUGCUGUUGCUGCACCAUAACUCUCAAUAAGAGCAUGCCCUUUCAGGUGUAUUGCUCUCUGUUUAGUCAGCCAAGAGGGAAGCUCUUGGGAUUCAGGAUUGUUUCCAAGAACCUGUGACAGAUACAGUAAUAUUUGUCUCUUCCAUCAUGGAAAAUGUGCUGUCUGACACCUGUGGAAGCCCUGUGUAAACUGGCAUGCUCCUCAUACGUGCAGGCUGGUACUCAGCUCAGUAUAUUUAAACUCCUUAGUACACAGCAACACCCACCAAGAAUAAAUUACUCUUCUAUCCACAUUAGAUGAACCAGGAGAACUCUCCAGGUGAAAGUGCAAUUUUGUUUUUUGCAGUCAUUGCAGAAACAAAUGUGUUUAACCUCUAGGUCUUCAUAGGAGAUAUUUUGGCUGAACAAGAAUCCCAAAUUUGGGACCUGUGUGGUUACAGGUGGUAUGGUUACUAUUAAAAGAAAGCUUUGAAUUAAUCUCAGAUAAAAUAAAGUGAGAGGUCUCUACUUUCUUCUUCUUAAUAUAAGAAAUUUUCUUUCAGACACCUAUCUGCAGAGCACAGCUUAGUAUUAAACAUGCACCUUCGGGUGGAAACCAACUACAAAAUUGUAUUCUUUGCUGUAGUUCUUGUUCGCUUAGAUAAUGGUUGAACAAGCUAGUCUUUGUUUUUGAUGAUGCUUGACUUGAAGUUGUAUAUUUAGUGUUUUGGCACUAAACAGAACAACCUUUUGGCAAUCUCUGUGACUGUGUACUUGCUCAAUACUUUGUUUAAAAAUACUGUCAUGAUAAAAUCUGCUCUUCACUCUAAUAGAAAAUACAUAUUCAAACAGCACAGAUUUUGCUGAGAGAAUGGGAAAAUGCUAAAAUGGGAAUUCUAUACAUUAAGAGUUUAUUAAAUUAAUAUAGUAAGUUAUUAUUAUAUAUUAUACUGAUAUCACAAAUCAUUCUAGUUCUUUGUACGAACAUAUAAAUAAGUAUCUGUUCUGGACAUAAAGCCAUUCAAUGACUUGGUAACACCGUUCCUUGACAAUAUCAACCUUGGAUGGGCAACAAGUACUCAGAAAUUGCAGAGGGAAAUAGAUGCCAG